UACGUAGGUGGCAAGCGUUGUCCGGAUUUACUGGGCGUAAAGAGCGCGCAGGCGGUCGGAUAAGUCGAAUGUGAAAGCCCCCGGCUCAACUGGGGAGGGUCAUUCGAUACUGUUCGACUCGAAGGCAGGAGAGGGAAGUGGAAUUCCCGGUGUAGUGGUGAAAUGCGUAGAUAUCGAGAGGAACGACCGGUGGCGAAGGCGGCCAACUGGACCAU
RNAcentral lists this ribosomal RNA (215 nucleotides) under uncultured bacterium. Its description in RNAcentral is "partial 16S ribosomal RNA". It matches the Rfam family "Bacterial small subunit ribosomal RNA", at positions 524 to 737 of the family's 1533-position model. The record is from RNAcentral.